Molecule: ribosomal RNA, 660 nt
Filed under: uncultured bacterium
Lineage: Bacteria
Description: bacterial SSU rRNA
Rfam family: Bacterial small subunit ribosomal RNA
Source: RNAcentral
CAGGCUUAACACAUGCAAGUCGAGGGGCAGCAUUUUAGUUUGCUUGCAAACUAAAGAUGGCGACCGGCGCACGGGUGAGUAACACGUAUCCAACCUGCCGAUAACUCGGGGAUAGCCUUUCGAAAGAAAGAUUAAUAUCCGAUGGUAUAUUAAAACCGCAUGGUUUUACUAUUAAAGAAUUUCGGUUAUCGAUGGGGAUGCGUUCCAUUAGUUUGUUGGCGGGGUAACGGCCCACCAAGACUACGAUGGAUAGGGGUUCUGAGAGGAAGGUCCCCCACAUUGGAACUGAGACACGGUCCAAACUCCUACGGGAGGCAGCAGUGAGGAAUAUCGGUCAAUGGACGAGAGUCUGAACCAGCCAAGUAGCGUGAAGGAUGACUGCCCUAUGGGUUGUAAACUUCUUUUAUAUGGGAAUAAAGUAUUCCACGUGUGGGAUUUUGUAUGUACCAUAUGAAUAAGGAUCGGCUAACUCCGUGCCAGCAGCCGCGGUAAUACAGAGGAUCCGAGCGUUAUCCGGAUUUAUUGGGUUUAAAGGGAGCGUAGGUGGAUUGUUAAGUCAGUUGUGAAAGUUUGCGGCUCAACCGUAAAAUUGCAGUUGAAACUGGCAGUCUUGAGUACAGUAGAGGUGGGCGGAAUUCGUGGUGUAGCGGUGAAAUGCUU